UCUGCCCAUUGGUUGAGCUUGGAGUGGAGGCCACUGGCUGGCGGAUGAACUCACAGUGUAGGUGGUGUGCUAUGUGAAGAACAUGUCUUUCACUAACACCACAAGGGUCUCUGGUCCAAUGAGUGGGGUUGGAUAGUAAUUCUUGCUACAAGU
Mustela putorius furo (domestic ferret) is the source of this 153-nucleotide small nucleolar RNA. Lineage: Eukaryota; Metazoa; Chordata; Mammalia; Carnivora; Mustelidae. The record is from Ensembl.